GAGAAUUGUUCAGAUGUAAUCCAAUUGUAAUGCCAAAAGCAUCCUUUCUAUACAAAGUGAAUACAAGUCACCAAAAAGAUUAGAAGCAAUGAACAAAAUGAAAUUUAAUAAUAAAGAAAAGAAAUAAAAUUUGUCAAAACACACUAUAAAGAGGAGAAAAAACAAAUAUAGGUCAUUAUCUUACAACACACACAACCAGCCCAACCAAAACAAAAUUUCAAAAAUCAUAAACGGACAAACCUCAGUAGUAGCAAGCUCAUAGUCAUAAAACAAUAAACCAUAGAUACAUAAAUCAUAAAACAUUUCAAAUGAAAAUGGCAUUAAAAAAAAUGAACUGAAAAAUAAAAUAAGAGAGGCUCACACAGAGGCGGCUGCAGCAAGCAGUGGUUUAGGGUGAAGGCUCAGCAUUGAUAGAUCACAACUCACAAGGCCGAAGGCUCAGCGUCGACUGUGCAAUCGGAGGAAGAUAAGGCUUUUUUGCUUUGUUUGAUUUUUGCAAAAUUCUUAAGGAUACAUAGUAGUAGCAUAAUUGGAAUUCAUAUCAUGAGCUUGCAGGCUUGGAUGAUGGGCGUAAUUUAAAAAAAAAAAAAAAAAAAAAAAUUGUGGCCCAAUUCUUCAUCCCUUUCUUUCAACCUCCCAGGAGACGGCAAAAAUGGUAGGGCUUCAUCUAACAAUUCUGGCUUCAUCUAACAAUUCUAACCUGUAAAUUCCGGCGGAUCCAACACGGGUGGCUGCGCUACCUCGCCGGGUGUUGGAUCCGCCACUGUUCCAACUAUCAGACAUGUAUUAAUUAAUCGUUUAUUAUGGCAUGUUAUAUUUUUUGGUUUCAAAGUAAGUCAUCUUUUUGAGUUUACAAGUUGGUAUUGAUGUUUCCCACUCAAUAUAUAUCAUAUUAGAUGAUCGAUAGUUAAAAUGUUUAACAUAUGUGUCUAUCUUAUUUAUAUUUAUUAGUGAGUUGGUGCGAUUUCUAAGACAAUGAAACACCAUAUUUAAAAACAAUGGUAAAAAGGAUCAUUGAUUUGACUAUUAGUUCGUUAGUUGUGAAAGAAAUUGGAGUGUUGUUGAAGGCGUAAGUAUUAGUUAGGUUGUUACAAUUUAAUUACUAUUUUUUUACUACGACAUCAUUUCUACAACUCCUUUCUUUUGGCCAAUAAAUAAUUACUUGAAUGUGCUUUGCUCCAUAAAUGUACCUUUUUUUAUGCACACCAAAAAAUGGAAUAGACUUGAUAUGAGGAUGAACAAUCUUAUUUAUAUCCAAUUUUAAUGCAAGAUUGAUUAACAAGAAGAAGAGGAAAGGGCAAAAUUAGGGCAUUGCUAGCAAGAGAUGUUACUAAUGGACAAUCUUGGAUUGUAGAGGGUUAUGAUGAUGAGGAGGGGAAGAUUGACGGGGGGGUGGAAAAUGAUAUUUUACAACUUACAAGAGGUACUAGAAAUGAUCAAAAUGAAAUAAGGGAACUCGAGAAUGACGAUUUGGUCUUUAAUAAUACAAAGGAUGAAUUAGAUGAAGAAAGAGGAUAUUAAACUAGUAAAGAGUUAGAUAAGGUUUAAGCUAAGAGCUAUCUAACCUAAUUAUGAUUUUGAGACUUAUCUUUUUUUUGAAAAUUUAGAAAAUAUGUAUAAAAUUCAUAUAAAUCCAUUAACUAAAGUAGGAUUUGUCUAGUUGAAACUUAAAAGCCAAAACUAUGAAAGGUGGUCUAGUUUUUGAAAAGUUAAAAAAUUGCAUAAUUGACUAAUUAUAAGAAUUAUUAAUUAAAUAGAAUAUUUUUUAAAUUUAGAUGUUUGGUAUUUAUUAUAAAAUGCGAUUUCGAAGGUUAUUAAAAUUUUGAAAUAAUAUUAAAAAUAAAAAACAUUUUUUAACCGAGAACUCGCAUAGGCAUGUAAAGCUUGAAAUUUAACUUUUAAACAGCCACGCUUAUUGCCUUUUAGAAGAUUAUUAAUUCUACCCGUUAGUAGUAAAGUUAUUUACUGCAGCCAGAAACACAAUUUAAACAUUGAUACCCCGAAUCAGAGAAUUACAUAACUAGUCCUUUAAAUAAUCUCCAGAGGUUUCUUUUUCUGCACAAUGAUUGUUUAUACUACCUAAUAAUCAAUUAGCCAACCUAAAUUUCUUUUUUCGACAUUGCCCACAUAAAAACAAAUUCCUGAAAGUUAUUCAGAUUCACCACAGUCCACAGUCAGGAAAAUCAUAAUAUUUAUUUUAUUUUUGUUUUCCUUCUUGAUGGUCAGGUAGGCAUGUAAAAUACAUACCUGAAUUCAACUGAAUGAAUGAACUGAUCUCGGGUGCUGGAUUCAUCCCAAAGGCAUUGUAUCAGUCGCCCAAGAGCCAAACUUCAGCCCCAAAAAUGCUAAGGAAUUGAAUAAAUUUUAUCCUACUGUCUUUGUUGUAUAGGAAGGAUUAAAAGGCAGUAAAAAUUAGAAAUAAUGAAAAUCAUAAGAAAUACAAAAGUAGGCCAAAUCAGUGAGUUCAUUCUAAUUACGCCGAUUUCAUCUAAGUCAAAGCAAAAGUAGGAUUAAGAAAUUAAAAAAUAUAUUUAUAGUAAUUAAGAGAAAUAAUUUAAACAGAAAAAAAUAAUAAAAAAUAAAAAACUGUAUCGAGAAAUGAAUAGGAAGAAACCAUCAGAGAAAUUGGAUUAUUACUGCAUCAAAUCGUGCUCAGACGACCGUCGUGAGAUUUUAAAUCCGAAUACAUCAUUUGGCUUCAAACAUUUAAAAAAAACUGGAAAAAGAUGUGUGUGAUUAGGGACAAUUAAUCCUAAUUCAUCAAUUUGGCUUCAAACAUUGAAUCAAAAACUGGAAAAGAGUCGUGAGUUUAUGUGUGUGUGAGCUGCUAUUUG
This 2834-nucleotide long non-coding RNA is filed under the name Olea europaea subsp. europaea. The record is from RNAcentral. Lineage: Eukaryota; Viridiplantae; Streptophyta; Magnoliopsida; Lamiales; Oleaceae.